ACCUUCGGGCCUCUUGCCAUCAGAUGUGCCCAGAUGGGAUUAGCUUGUUGGUGAGGUAACGGCUCACCAAGGCGACGAUCCCUAGCUGGUCUGAGAGGAUGACCAGCCACACUGGAACUGAGACACGGUCCAGACUCCUACGGGAGGCAGCAGUGGGGAAUAUUGCACAAUGGGCGCAAGCCUGAUGCAGCCAUGCCGCGUGUAUGAAGAAGGCCUUCGGGUUGUAAAGUACUUUCAGCGGGGAGGAAGGUGUUGUGGUUAAUAACCGCAGCAAUUGACGUUACCCGCAGAAGAAGCACCGGCUAACUCCGUGCCAGCAGCCGCGGUAAUACGGAGGGUGCAAGCGUUAAUCGGAAUUACUGGGCGUAAAGCGCACGCAGGCGGUCUGUCAAGUCGGA
This 398-nucleotide ribosomal RNA is filed under the name Salmonella enterica. RNAcentral's name for it is "bacterial SSU rRNA". It matches the Rfam family "Bacterial small subunit ribosomal RNA", at positions 199 to 592 of the family's 1533-position model. The record is from RNAcentral. Lineage: Bacteria; Pseudomonadati; Pseudomonadota; Gammaproteobacteria; Enterobacterales; Enterobacteriaceae.